RNAcentral lists this long non-coding RNA (3325 nucleotides) under Mytilus galloprovincialis (Mediterranean mussel). Lineage: Eukaryota; Metazoa; Mollusca; Bivalvia; Mytilida; Mytilidae. The record is from RNAcentral.
UGUUAAUGUACUUUUCAGAAAAAGAAGAAGUGAAAAUCUAUCAAGCCUGAUAUUAUGAGAACUGAACUUUGCAAGCAAUAGUUCGAAGGUCAAUCUCAGGACCAAUCUAAUCAAGAGAUUUUAACCAUCUUCAUCGCAUGUGUUUAGUGAACAAACUGACUGAAUGAGGAUCUUUAACAGUAUCCAACUUUGAGGAUGUAUCAGAGCAAUGAAGUUUUCUUAGUUAUUUUGUCUAUGUGUGACCUCUUUAAACAUUCAUUCAUGCUUUUGUAUAACUUCAAAACAACACAAAAUCAUUUUUGACCUUUUGUUACUCAUGAUAAUGUGUAUACUUUUAACCUAGGUUUAUGUUGAUGUACAACGAAACAUGUAUUUCUAAUCAAAUCUGACUUGACAUAACAGUGUACAAAUUUUUAUCUUGAGCAUUGUGUUCUUGCAAAGAUUAAAAUUCAUUUAUGGUCUUAUGUUCAAUGAAAAUAUGUCAGUAAGAAAUGGUGAAUUUAUUAAAUAUACAUGUAGGCAUUUUAAUAUUUAUGCUAUACCAGAAAAAUCACCAGAGGGUAAAGACCCUAAGAUAAGAAAUAUAUUAUAAAGAAUCGUAAUGUAGAAAUAUUAUAGUUAAAGGGUAGUCUUUACAGUUCUAUGUGUAAUAUUUAUGAUUUUAAGAUAUGUAGUAGGCAUAGUUUUUUCUAAAAGUCUUAAAAUAUAACACGGUUAAAGAAAAUAUACUUAGUGCCCUAUUUGACCUAAACAUUGAAAUAUUACCAAAUAAGAUAAUGGAAAAGUAUUUUCAAAAUAAAAAUCAGAAUAUUAUGGAUAUUAAUGAAGAAUUUAUGGUCAAGACAUGACAUAGUUUAUUUUUAUCUAAAGAAGAAUUAUUGAAAUUUUAUAUUUCGACUCGAAUUUGUUUGUUAAAAAUUUCUAAAACUGAAAUUUAAGAAGAUGCAGUAUGAUCGCCAAAGAGACAACUAUCCACCAAAGUUCAUAUGAAGGGGAGGCAAGCAAUAGGUUGAAAUGGAUUUUGAAAUACAGCACUACAUGAGUUUUGAAAAAGAUGAAAAGAAAUUAAAUUCAUAUUCAAUGAAACCUCAUUUGUUACCUAAUAUUUUGUAGAAAAUUGCAUUGCAAUGACUCAAGGCAAUUCCAACCUUAUCAAAAAUGUAGGUAAUAAUUCCAACAAAAUAAAAUCAGUAUUUUCUGAUUUAUUUAAGAUUAGAAACACUUGCCUUUUAAGACUUAUUCUUUAAGUAAUUUGUACUUUUUUUCUUCAAAUUUUCAUUUAUUAUACUAACAGUUAUCUCCCCCUGAAACUGUAUUGACUCCCCUUAAAAUUAAAGAUAAGUUUUUGAUAAACCAUUGUCUGUAUUAAAGUACAUCCAUGAAGAAAAAGUUCCUCUUUACCCUUAUGUUACAUAUAAUGUAUUUCUUUUUAUUUAAUAUCAUGUUGAUGAAUGUGAUUGUGCAAUUAAUUAAUCAGAAUAUUAUUAAACAUUUAUGAACAAACUUACAUUGCAAUACAUAAAUACUUUAUGUAUGUGAGGUUUAAGAAACAAAGAUUUUGAUUUAAAUUAUUUUGUAUUUUGUUUAAAAGAAAAAAAAAGAUUUUUUGUUUGUUUUCAUGUUUCAAAUAUCAGCUUUAUUUUCUAUUCUUUUAGUGAUGUUUUUACUCAUUCACCAAUAUAACAUUGUGUAUCAUCAAAAUUUAGAUGUCCAACAAAAAUUUGGUAGUCAAUGAAUAAGCAUGUAUUGUUUACAAGUAAACUUUGUUGAAGUUGCAUUUGUUCCAUGUUUUAAGCAUACAAUGUAAUAGUACUGCUCUUCUGCAAUCAAAUUAGCUUUGUGAUUUCAUUUGUUUUAAUUUUCAUUGAAGCAUGGUGUACAUGAAUUUAAAAGUCAUAUUACCGGUAGUAUUAUUUCCUCUUUAAAUAAUGCUUGAAUAUAACUUUUAGUCAAUUUACAGGCUUUACAGCGAUUCAGCUUACAUAUUUGUACAAAAUGUGAUUUUUUUUUUAUACAGGGCAGAGAUAGUCUAACAGCUUCAACUAUGGCUCCACCUUACCCAAAAGCAUUAUUUUAAUAUGCAGGAUGAUUAAAGUCUAUAAUGUUCUUUAACCACACUGACCAUUUCAUUUCUUCUAAAAAUUAAAAAAUUUCUGGCAUUUUGGAAGUUUUGACACCAAUGUCAGUGCAAAGACUAAUGUUUUUGGAAUAUUACCAUAAUCAUGCUCACUAGAGAACAAAAUAUUUAUAUCAAAAUAUUCAAAAUGUAUCAACGCAUACAAAUCUUAAAGGCAAAUUGCAGUCCUUUUUGUUUUUGUCAUUUUCAGUUCAGUAAUUUAUUACUGUAACUAAAAAUUUAUGAUCAAAUUGUAUCAGUUAAAUCAUGUUAUUAAUAAAAAUAUUUGUCCCUCGUUUUUUUGAAAAUUCAAUAAAAAAUGCAAUUUGAAAUACCGGUAGGUUAUUCAAUUGGGAAUAUCAAUUUGUGGUUUUAAGUUAAUAUUAACAAUAAUUAAUGUUAUACAUUAUUUACAGUAUUUUCAGACUACAAGAUAUUAAUGAUUUUAUUAUACACCCUAUGUUUAUAUAGGUUUAUUUUUUAUGUAAACUUUAUGAUAUCUACAUGGACUACUUUGUAAAAUGCCAGUCUGCUAUCAUUAGCUCACCUAUCUCAAAGGUGUAGUGUGAGCUAUUGCAACCAUUUGACAACUCUUUCUUAAAUUUAUGUUGAUAUAAUCUACAGUUACCAUUUAGGUCAUUUAAAAUUCAUAAUUCUUUGGACAACCAAGAGUUAACCCGACUCAUAUCUCCUGUAAUGAUGUUAUAUGAGGAUUUUAUUAUUAUUAUAAGUCGACCCCUCAUUAGGAUUCUUAUGUUUUUGAAAAUUUAGCUUUUUUUUUAUAUAUAUAAUAGCAUUGUGUCCUUGCUUGUUUUGCUAAAUAGCUUUUCUCAUGUUUUUGAAAAAGUUUCCAUUAUCAAUGGUUUGCACCAACGUUUCAAAUAUAUCUGAUAUAUAUUGGUGUAAAUUUAUGUAAAAUCUGGGAUUUUUCCCCUUGUGAUCAUGCUAAGUAAUGAAAAUAGCUUUAAUUAAAAACUUUAUUGCUAGAACAUACAUUUAGCUUUUUAUACUGUGAUAAGUGUUAGUGUACCAAUUCUGUUAACUUGAUAAACAUGUGAAUUUUACAUAUAUAUAUAUUUAUAUUAUAAUUGCAAAGAUGCAUUUAUUAUUUAAAAUAAAAUAAUUGUCAAUCAAUUACUUGUUUUAUCAUUUUCAUGUACUUUGGAUUUUUUUUUUUGGGCUACCUAUUUUCAACCAUCACAAGAAUUG